This 616-nucleotide long non-coding RNA is filed under the name Bos indicus x Bos taurus (hybrid cattle). RNAcentral describes it as "lncRNA (ENSBIXG00005019824.1)". Lineage: Eukaryota; Metazoa; Chordata; Mammalia; Artiodactyla; Bovidae. The record is from RNAcentral.
UCUUGAGUUGGUCAGACUCACUCAUGAAGAAUUUUCCAUUCUUUUUUUUUUUCUUGCCAGUCUCCUGAGAUCUGAGUUGGGGAAGAAGACGGUGAGGGAGAGGGGGUCUCGAUAUCUGACAGGAAGCAGGAAGCUGGAGCUUGAGGAGAAUGAUGUCCCUGCCUUGGGGCUGGUUGUUGACCGAAGACAGGACAGAAGGAGCAGCCCCUUGCUGGGAUCUCCCAUUCGAUGAGACCAACCAGAAAUGGAGAUGCUGGACUAGGUGGAGAGGCUGAAGAAAGUAACCAAGCAGUGGGGCUUCUGUGGAUGCAGCCUGCAUUUCCCCCUGAGCAACGGCUGGUACGAAGCCCAGCAGCCCAUUUUCACGAUCCUGCUGCCUCUGUUUAAUCAGAAAAUGUCCCUGUCCUGGACAUCUUGGUGUGUGGCUUUAUUUCCAACUGGAUGCCUCCUUUUCUCUAAACUUGAAGCGCCUGAACAGCCCCACAUUUGGGGUAACUGUCCCUUGCUCUUUGCUUGUAUUUCCCUGACCUUGAAAGAGCCAUUUUCCAGGACUGUCACUAAUGGAUCUUCACGCAAUGACAAUAAAAUAUCCCAGCGCUCGAGAAAAGAAAGGAGA